UUUUUUGGUGACCGCUGGCAGUGUGCCUUAGACAUGCAAGUCGAACGAAGCACCUUUUUUGAUUCCCUUCGGGGAUGAUUAACUGGUGACUGAGUGGCGAACGGGUGAGUAACACGUGGGUGAUCUGCCCCCAAGUGCGGCAUAACAGUGGGAAACUGCUGCUAAUUCCGCAUAUGCUCCCGCCUUUUGUGGCGUGAGUAAAGAUUUAUCGUUUGGGGAUGAGCCCGCGGCACAUCAGCUAGUUGGUAGGGUAAAGGCCUACCAAGGCGACGACGUGUAGCCGACCUGAGAGGGUGACCGGCCACAGGGGUACUGAGACACGGACCCCACUCCUACGGGAGGCAGCAGUUAGGAAUCUUCCACAAUGGGCGCAAGCCUGAUGGAGCGACACUGCAUGAGGGAUGAAGGUUUUCGGAUCGUAAACCUCUGAACUAGGGACGAUAAUGACGGUACCUAGGUAAUAGCACCGGCUAACUCCGUGCCAGCAGCCGCGGUAAUCGGAGGGUGCGAGCGUUAUCCGGAAUCACUGGGCGUAAGGGCACGUAGGCGGUCUCUAAGUCCGAUGUUAAAGAGUGGGGCUCACCCAUCACGGCGUUGGAUACUGCAGGCUUGACACUGGAGAGGAAAGUAAAUACCAGUGUAGCGGUGAAAUGCGUAGAUACUGGAGG
RNAcentral lists this ribosomal RNA (668 nucleotides) under uncultured Antarctic soil bacterium. RNAcentral describes it as "bacterial SSU rRNA". It matches the Rfam family "Bacterial small subunit ribosomal RNA", at positions 22 to 703 of the family's 1533-position model. The record is from RNAcentral.